GAGUGUUACCGCUCUUCUCGAAUUUGUCUAGCAGGCUUUCUGCUUUUUAUUGGAAAGUGCCCCC
Molecule: non-coding RNA, 64 nt
Organism: Nomascus leucogenys (northern white-cheeked gibbon)
Lineage: Eukaryota; Metazoa; Chordata; Mammalia; Primates; Hylobatidae
Rfam family: U7 small nuclear RNA
About the family: Animal histone pre-mRNAs are spliced by a different mechanism than nuclear pre-mRNAs and self-splicing introns. This processing involves the U7 snRNP, which contains only one RNA species: U7.
Source: Rfam